This 1405-nucleotide long non-coding RNA is filed under the name Homo sapiens (human). RNAcentral describes it as "HSALNT0077114". Lineage: Eukaryota; Metazoa; Chordata; Mammalia; Primates; Hominidae. The record is from RNAcentral.
UUUUUUUAAUGUAAAACCAUUUGUUUAAUUCUAAAUCAAAUCACUUUCACAACAGUGAAAAUUAGUGACUGGUUAAGGUGUGCCACUGUACAUAUCAUCAUUUUCUGACUGGGGUCAGGACCUGGUCUUAGUCCACAAGGGUGGCAGGAGGAGGGUGGAGGCUAAGAACACAGAAAACACACAAAAGAAAGGAAAGCUGCCUUGGCAGAAGGAUGAGGUGGUGAGCUUGCCGAGGGAUGGUGGGAAGGGGGCUCCCUGUUGGGGCCAAGCCAGGAGUCCCAAGUCAGCUCUCCUGACUUACUUAGCUCCUGGCAGAGGGUGAGUGGGGACCUACAAGGUUCAAAAUCAAAUGGCAUUUGGCCUGGCUUUACUAACAGGUUCCCAGAGUGCCUCUGUUGGUUGAGCUCUCCUGGGUUCACUCCAUUUCAUUGAAGAGUCCAAAUGAUUCAUUUUCCUACCCACAACUUUUCAUUAUUCUUCUGGAAACCCAUUUCUGUUGAGUCCAUCUGACUUAAGUCCUCUCUCCCUCCACUAGUUGGGGCCACUGCACUGAGGGGGGUCCCACCAAUUCUCUCUAGAGCAGAGACACUCCAGAGGCCCCUGCAACUUUGGGGAUUUCCAGAAGGUGAUAAAAAGAACACUCUUGAGUGGGUGCCCAGGAAUGUUUAAAAUCUAUCAGGCACACUAUAAAGCUGGUGGUUUCUUCCUACCAAGUGGAUUCGGCAUAUGAACCACCUACUCAAUACUUUAUAUUCUGUCUGUUUAAACACUGAACUCUGGUGUUGACAGGUACAAAGGAGAAGAGAUGGGGACUAUGAAGAGGGGAGGGCUUCCCUCAUCUUCCUCAAGAUCUUUGUUUCCACAAACUAUGCAGUCAUAAUUGAGAAAAAGCAAUAGGUGGGGCUUCCUACCAUUUGUUGGUUAUUGCUGGGGUUAGCCAGGAGCAGUGUGGAUGGCAAAGUAAGAAAGAGGCCCAGAGGAAGCCCAUCUCCCCCCAGCUUUGCGGUCUCCAGAAAGAGGCUGGAUUUGUGGGAUGAAGCCUAGAAGGCAGAGCAAGAACUGUUCCACCAGGUGAACAGUCCUACCUGCUUGGUACCAUACUCCCUCAAUAAGAUUCAGAGGAAGAAGCUUGUGAAACUGAAAAUCAAAUCAAGGUAUUGGGAAGAAUAAUUUCCCCUCGAUUCCACAGGAGGGAAGACCACACAAUAUCAUUGUGCUGGGGCUCCCCAGGCCCUGCCACCUGGCUUUACAAAUCAUCAGGGGUUGCCUGCUUGGCAGUCACAUGCUUCCCUGGUUUUAGCACACAUAAAAGGAGUUUUCAGGGAACUCUAUCAAGCCAUACCAAAAUCAGGGUCACAUGUGGGUUUCCCCUUUCCUUGCCUCUUCAUAAAAGACAACUUGGCUU